RNAcentral lists this unclassified non-coding RNA (167 nucleotides) under soil metagenome. RNAcentral's name for it is "partial internal transcribed spacer 1". The record is from RNAcentral.
CCGAGUAUUACAACUCCCAAACCCUUUGUGAACCUUACCUAUCGUUGCUUCGGCGGGACCAGCCCCGGCGCCUUUCAAACCGCGCCGGAACCAGGCACCCGCCGGAGGUAUUCACAAACUCUUGUUUUAUAUAGUAUCUUCUGAGUGGCGAAAGCAAAAAUGAAUCA